AACAUACACACUUGGCUAGUAAAGCUCAUUUUGACACGAAGAGAGGCAGUGUGAAUAGGAAGGACGUGAAAGUAGGAAGUCAGUCUAUCCGACGUACACUCAACUGAGCAGAGGAGAAAAGUGUCUGAGACAAGUGCUGCUGGUUUACCUCUCACACUUGAGAAGAUGAGUGAAUUGGAUGAAGGGGAGAACAGGUUAGGGUCUCCAGUCUCCAGCUGUCCCUCUGAGGAACUUUACACAGACAUGCCUGAAGACUUCAGUUAUGAGCCUGGACCCUCAGCAACAAAAGAGGAGUGGAAGAGGAGGGAUGUUUCUGUGGAGGAGCAGCCAUCAUCCUGUGCUUUAUGUCAGGACGUCCUGAAGGAUCCACUCUCUACCAGCUGUGGACACUGGUUCUGCAGUCAGUGCAUCACCUUGUACUGGGACCAGUCUGCUUCAUCAGGAGACUCCUUCUGUCCCCUGUGUAGAGUCAGUCAGACCAGCACUGUACAACAUUUUGAAAACCAUCUUCUUCAGUCUCACACUUUUCCUUCUCUCUCAGCAGACAGUGGUCUGCAGAAGGUUUUAGAUGAACAUAAGAUCAGUCUGAAGAGGAGAUGUGACCGUGUGACUGAGGGAACCAAUGAAACAGGAAGUGAAACCCUCCUCAACAGGAUCUACACUGAGCUCUACAUCACAGAGGGACGGAGUGAAGAGAUUAAUACCCAACAUGAGGUGAAGCAGCUUGAGACAGCCCACAGGAUAAAGACCCUCCAUGAAACUCCAAUCAAGUGUCACGACAUCUUUAAAGCCUUACCUGACCAACAGGGACACAUCAGAGUCGUUUUGACGAACGGCGUCUCUGGCGUUGGUAAAACCUUCUCAGUGCAGAAGUUCACUCUGGACUGGGCCGAGGGUUUGGAAAACCAAGAUGUCAGUCUGGUGAUUCCGUUUUCAUUCAGGGAGCUGAACUUGAUCAAAGAUAAGAAGUACAGUCUUCUCACUCUGCUCUGUGUUUUCCAUUCAACAUUACAGAAGGUCACAGCAGAGGAGCUCGCUGUCUGUAAAGUUCUGUUCAUCUUUGACGGCCUGGAUGAAAGCAGACUGGCUCUGGAUUUCCACAACAAUGAGGUUGUGACUGAUGUCACACAGAAGUCAUCAGUCAACGUGCUGCUGACAAACCUCAUCAAAGGGAAGCUGCUUCCCUCGGCUCUCGUGUGGAUAACUUCCCGACCUGCAGCAGCCAAUCAGAUCCCUCCUGCAUGUGUUGACAGGGUAACAGAAGUACGAGGCUUCACUGACGCCCAGAAGGAGGAGUACUUCAGGAGGAGAGUCAGUGAUGAAGAGCGGUCCAGCAGAAUCAUCUCACACAUGAAGACAUCCAGGAGCCUCCACAUCAUGUGUCUAAUCCCAGUCUUCUGCUGGAUCACUGCUACAGUUCUGGAUCACAUGUUGACUACAGAGCAGAGAGGAGAGCUGCCCAAGACCCUGACUGACCUGUACUCACACUUCCUGCUGGUUCAGACAAAGAGGAAGAAGCAGAAGUAUGAUGAGGAACAUGAGACCAGUCCACAGGAGCUGACGGAGGCUGACAGGGACGUUCUUCUGAAGCUGGGGAGGCUGGCGUUUGAACAGCUGGUGAAAGGAAACAUCAUGUUCUACCAAGAAGACCUGGAGCACUGUGGUCUUAAUGUCACAGAGGCCUCGGUGUACUCAGGACUUUGUACAGAGAUCUUCAAAAGAGAGUGUGUGAUCUUCCAGAAAACAGUCUACUGCUUCGUUCAUCUGAGCGUUCAGGAGUUUCUGGCCGCAGUCUACCUGUUCCACUGUUACACCAACAGGAGGACCGAGGUACUCAAGGACUUCCUGGGGAAAGACUGGAAUAAUUACCGAUCCCUGGGUGACUUCUUGCGGGGUGCCAUGGACAAGGACAACAGUGAUGGCAGUGAUCCUGAUUACCCAUCCCUGGAUGACUUCCUGAAAACUGCCAUGAAAAAAUCCCUCCAAAGUAAGAAUGGGCACCUGGACCUGUUUGUCCGCUUUCUCCAUGGCCUCGCUCUCGAAUCAAACCAGAGACUCUUAGGAGGCCUGCUGGGUCAGACAGACAACAGUCCAGAAAUCAUCCAGAGAGCCAUCAACAACCUGAAGAAGAUGAACGUGUAUGAGAUCUCUCCUGAUAGAGGCAUCAACAUCUUCCACUGUAUGAUGGAGAUGAACGACGACUCGGUACAUCAGGAGAUCCAAGAGUUCCUGAUGUCAGGGAACAGAUCAGAGAAAGAAUUCUCUGUGGUCCACUGCUCAGCUCUGGCCUACAUGUUACAGAUGUCAGAGGAGGUUCUGGAUGAAUUUGACCUGAGUACGUACAACACAUCAGACCAGGGACGUCUGAAACUGAUUCCGGCUGUGAGGAACUGCAGAAAGGCAGUACUUACUGGCUGUAGACUCUCAGAGCCUCACUGUGAAGUUGUGGCCUCAGCUUUGAAGUCCAACCCCUCCCAUCUGAGAGAGCUGAACCUGAGUGAGAACAAGCUGCAGGAUUCAGAAGUGAAGCUGCUGUCUGUUGGACUAGAGAGUCCAAACUGUAAACUGGAGGAGCUGAGAUUGUGGAGCUGCCAUUUGUCAGAAAACAACUUUGCUUCUCUGGCCUCAGCUCUGAAGUCCAACCCCUCCCAUCUGAGAGAGCUGGAACUGAGUGACAACCACCUGCAGGGUGCAGGAGUGAAACUGCUGUGUGAUUUUCUGAAGAGUCCACACUGCAGACUGAAGACUCUGGGUUUGAGAUCCUGCAGUUUGUCAGAGAUCGGCUUUGUUUCCAUGGCCUCAGCUCUGAAGUCCAACCCCUCCUAUCUAAGAGAGCUGGACCUGAGUGACAACUACCUGAAGCAUUCAGGAGUGAAGCUGCUGUGUGAUUUUCUGAAGAGUCCACCCUGUAAAAUGGAGAGUCUGGGACUGAGUUCAUGCAGUUUGUCAGCGAACAGCUGUGUUUCUCUGGCCUCAGCCCUGAAGUCCAACCCCUCCCAUCUGAGAGAGCUGGACCUGAGUGACAACGACUGGAUGGAUUCAGGAGGGAAACUGCUGUGUGAUUUUCUGAAGAAUCCACACUGUAGACUGGAGCGUCUGGGACUGUGGCACUGCCAUUUGUCAAAGAUCAGCUAUGUUUCUUUGGCCUCAGCUCUGGAGUCCAACCCCUUCUGUCUGAGAGAGCUGGACCUGAGUGACAACUGGGACAAGGAACAAGGAGUGAAGCUACUCUCUUCUUGUGUGGAGAAUCCAGACUGUAGACUGGAGACUCUGAGGAUCAGUGGCAAGGUGUUCAGAGCUAAGAAACACAAAAUAUACGACUCUGAUGUCAAACCUGACGUGAAAACAAACCUUGCCGAGGAUGACAAAAAGGCUCCAUUAUCUUUCUCACCCGAACGCACAACUGAAUCUACAUACAGGUUCAGGUGUCCUGGUCCAGGUGUGUUCCAGUGUGAUUUGACAGGACUGGUGUUUGUUAUGGCUCAGGAGGCGGAGCUGCUGUACAGGACUGUCCAAUGGGAUGAGAGCCUCCUCCAGCCAGCUGGCAAGACAGCUGCAGGGCCGCUGUUUGAAAUCAAGUGUUCUGAGGCUGCUGCCGUCUGUCAGCUCCACCUCCCGCACUGUGAAACAAAGGAUGCGUUGCUCAUUGAUGGCCUGUUGUCUGUCGUCCACGUCACUGACGAUGGAAUGAGCAUCUUGGAGCCACUGGAGAUUACAGACACUCAUGUGGUUGUGAAGGUCCCAAACCUCUCUGCCUUCGGCCUGGUCUGGGAUUACAUCACAAGGUUUCUGAACAUCUCACUGCCAAUAAAUGGUCAAGUUCUGCUGUUCCUCCGACCUCCGUACUUAGGGCAUCGAGUACUGGAUGUAUUUCUGCUGCAGGACAACAUCCCUCUACAGGAGCUCCUCCUGGGGUAUUCUUCCCAAUCACCCCCCACCUCCAGGUUUAUCUAACAUUGCCCACGUGAGUACCUCAGUAGAACUAUAGAGUCCCAAGAUGGUAUCUCUCCCAGGACGCCACUCAGAGACUUCAAGAUGGCCAGGUACUCUGAACUGCUGUUUGGUGCACCACACAACAGCCAAAAUCCCACACAGUGGCACCCAGCCGGGAGCUUUUGAGUUUCCCCACACCUGUCCAGCCCCUCUCCAGGAGUUCAGGUCCAGUACCAGUGCUUUGUGUGAAGCUACAGACCUGUUUCGCUACUCCCUCAACUUUCCAAAAUACUCGAAAAACUCUUCAAUAAUCGUCUGGAAAAAUUCAUAGACAAGCAUAACUUACUCAGUGACAGUCAAUAUGGAUUCAGGGCAAAUAGAUCUACAUCACUAGCAUUAACUGAUUCAAUAGAGGACAUCACAAACUCCAUAGAUAAUAAACAGUAUGCAGUUGGGUUAUUCAUAGAUUUAAAAAAAAGCAUUUGACACCAUACACCACGGCAUAUUAAUCAAAAAGUUGGAAAGGUACGGCAUCAGGGGGGUUGUGCUAAACUGGCUGAAAAGUUAUUUGUCUAGCAGGCAGCAGUUUGUGAAGGUGGGUGAUUGUUGCUCCUCAUGUUUGGACAUUACCUGUGGUGUCCCCCAGGGGUCAGUUUUGGGCCCUAAAUUGUUUAUUCUAUAUAUUAAUGAUUUAUGCAGUGUGUCUGAAACACUUAAACUUGUUUUAUUUGCUGAUGACACAAACAUUUUUUGUUCCGGAGAUGAUGUUUGUCAGUUACAAAAACAUAUUACUUCAGAAAUGUGCAAAUUAAAAAUAUGGUUUGAUAAAAACAAGCUAUCAUUAAACUUAACCAAAACAAAAUGCAUGUUAUUUGGGAACUUGGGAAAAGGUACCCAAAUAAAUAUUGUGGUAGAUGGGAUUAAGAUUGAGCAAGUUUCUGUAUAUAAGUUUCUUGGUGUUACAAUAGAUGAAAAACUCAGCUGGAAAUCACACAUCAAACAUAUCCACUCCAAAAUAUCAAGAAGCAUUGCAGUAUUAAACAAAGCAAAACAGGUUUUAGAUCACAAAUCACUCCACAUUCUGUACUGUUCACUGGUUUUACCAUAUCUAAGUUACUGUGCAGAGGUCUGGGGCAGCACUUACAAAACUACACUACAGCCAUUAAUCAUUCUUCAAAAAAGAGCAAUACGCUGCAUUCACAAAGCUGGAUAUCAGGAUCAUACAAACCCAUUAUUCUUACAGGCACAUAUAUUAAAACUGGAAGACCUGAUCAAUUAUCAAAUAGCACAAAUAAUGUUUAGGGCAAAAAAUCAUUUACUAGCAGCAAAUAUUCAAAACAUGUUUACACAAAAAGAGGGAAUUUAUAAUUUAAGAGGGCUAUUCAAUUUUAAAACCCCAAGUUUUCGUACUACCAGGAAAAGUUUUUGUAUUUCUGUUUGGGGAGUAAAGUUAUGGAACAGUCUUGAUGGGGAGCUCAAGAAAUGUCCAAACAUGAAGCAAUUUAAAAAAAGAUAUAAAGAAAUGAUUUUCAAAGGGUACAGUCACGACAAUCCUUAGCAGUAUAUUUGUAUAUUGUUUGCCUUAUUUAUUUAUGGUGCUAGUUAUUUUCCUAGAUUACCUCACAUUUCUUUUGUAAAAUUGUAUUUUGGUAUAUGUUGACUGUGAAUUUAUGUUUUUGAAAUAUUUUGUAAAACUUUGUUAAUUGAAGGGAAAAGUUUAUGUUGUUAAUUAUUGUAAUGGGAAGCUAGUUAAUUAACAAAAAAUGGAUUUAUGGAUAGGGGGUGGGAUUAAAUAAGUAUGUACUUCCUCCCACUCCUUUUCGGAAAUGUAAACCGAAUUGCCAAAUUGUGUUGAGAAUCUUUUGUUUGCUUUUUUUCUUAUGACAUUUCUGUUUACACGUUCGAAAUAAAUAAGAAAUCAAAUCAAAUCAAAUCAAGGUGAAACUAACUAUAACUAGUUGGUAUCGCUUCACCUCCCGCACCAGCUCCAGUUCCUUACCUGCCAGAGAGAUGAGUUUCAUAUCUCUAGAGUCAGUCUAGGAUGCCAGGGGUCACUACGCCAAGGCUCCUGCCUUUGCCUACCAUCCAACCUGCCUAUUCUCUCGAGUGGUGGGCCCACAGGCACCAGACACACGCUGGUGAGCUGCUCCCCUUCCAGGUCUGGCUCCAGGAGGGGGCCCCAGUGCAACAACUCCUUUUUUGCUGAUUCAUAUGGGGUCUUUAAAUCGCUCUUAGUCUGACACCUCCCAUGGGACCACUUUGCUUUGGGAGACCCUACCAGGAGCUUCUGCCCCCAACCUCACAGCUCCCACAGGAUCACAGGGACACAAAAACCCCUCCACCAUGUUGAGGUGGCAUUUCUUGGAUAGAGUGUUCUUAAAUGCUCUCUAUAAAAAGAAUUGUCCUGACUAUCUGAGCAUGAACUAAACUUAUAAUAAUGUCCCUUUACUGAAGGUUACCGUCCAACAAGGAGGUGCUGAGCAUAUCAAGAUCUCCUCCAACUGUCAUCUGAGCUUUGGUCAAAGUUACAGUGUCCACUGUGAACCUGAGGGCUUCACAAUACAGCCUGAGCAUGAAGCGUUUCAGUCAAGGCAUGGACCAAA
Epinephelus moara (kelp grouper) is the source of this 6536-nucleotide RNA transcript. It is a transcript of the gene named protein NLRC3-like, with no coding region annotated. The transcript is spliced from 16 exons. NCBI's taxonomy places the organism in Eukaryota, Metazoa, Chordata, Actinopteri, Perciformes, Serranidae. The record is from RefSeq and is a predicted model, not a curated record.